RNAcentral lists this long non-coding RNA (547 nucleotides) under Theobroma cacao (cacao). Its description in RNAcentral is "long non-coding RNA (TCAC_LNC001077)". Lineage: Eukaryota; Viridiplantae; Streptophyta; Magnoliopsida; Malvales; Malvaceae. The record is from RNAcentral.
ACGUUUCUUCAUCCUCCAUGGGAGUUUUCUUCAAGCUUUCAUAACUCUCUCAAGCUAGCUCCACUUUUCAUGCUUUUAUGUACCCUUUCAUAGAACCUUUUUGCUCUUUCACUCUCUCACUUUAAAACCCUUGAAAAGUCUUACUUUCAUAUUCUCUCUCACUAGCUAGGUGUUUUAGAGAGAGAAAGAGGGAGUUUCUAUAAUAGCUUGAAAAUUAUUGGAAAAAAUUUCAAAUUUACAAAGCUACAAAGGUGAGUAGUGAAUUAAAAUUUCUGUUUAGUUACUGAUAAUGUCUAGUAAUUUCAUUUGUGAGUGUUUUAUUGUUGAGAUUGUUUAAUCAUUUUUAGUGUGACUAGAGUAGUGCAAAUAAUAGCUAUUUAAUGGUAGUUGGAAGCUAGUAGGAAUGACUAGUAAAACUCAAUUUAGAAAAUAGCUAUUGAAUAGUAUUAAUGCCAAGUUGGGUUGAUGGUGAUCAUGCUAAUGUGAUGAUAGGUUCCAAUGGAGCCCCACCACCCCAUUUGGACCAUUAGAGGAAGUUGGAGUUGAG